CCUACGGGAGGCAGCAGUGAGGAAUAUUGGUCAAUGGCCGUAAGGCUGAACCAGCCAAGUCGCGUGAAGGAAGAAGGAUCUAUGGUUUGUAAACUUCUUUUAUAGGGGAAUAAAGGUAUCCACGUGUGGAUAUUUGCAUGUACCCUAUGAAUAAGCAUCGGCUAACUCCGGGCCAGCAGCCGCGGUAAUACGGAGGAUGUGAGCGUUAUCCGGAUUUAUUGGGUUAAAAGGGUGCGUAGGUUGUUUUUUAAGUCAGCGGGGAAAGUUUGUGGCUCAACCAUAAAAUUGCCGUUGAAACUGGAAGACUUGAGUGUGUUUGAGGUAGGCGGAAUGCGUGGUGUAGCGGUGAAAUGCAUAGAUAUCACGCAGAACUCCGAUUGCGAAGGCAGCUUACUAAGCCAUAACUGACAUUGAAGCACGAAAGCGUGGGGAUCAAACAGGAUUAGAUACCCCUGUAGUC
This 460-nucleotide ribosomal RNA is filed under the name uncultured bacterium. RNAcentral's name for it is "partial 16S ribosomal RNA". It matches the Rfam family "Bacterial small subunit ribosomal RNA", at positions 338 to 795 of the family's 1533-position model. The record is from RNAcentral.